GUAUUCCUCAGAUCUAAUCUUCGACAUUGCCAAGUGAAACAGAAAAGAGUUUUGAAUGGUAAGUUUUUUUCUCAUUAUCCUCUUUAGUAUAUUUAUGUUCCAUUAUGUUAGUACGUAAUGUACUUUAAGUGUAUUCUAGAACUUAAGUGACGUUAAACGAGAUCGCAUUGAGUCGAAACAACGCCAGUGUACACAGUGCGAUGCCGUUUGUUUUUAUGGUCUGUUUUUAAACGUUUUAAAAACAUUACGGAACUUUUUUUGUUUUUUUUUUCGACGAAGACGUUAGAAAAUCUGUUAGUUCACUUAAAUUUAGAAGGUCUCGAUUCUCUUCAUGCUUGACGACCGCAUUGUUUGAAGGUGGAGGUCAUCCACAGGAGUCAAGCCCUCCCGCAGUUACUUAUUAAUGAAGUCAUUCCAUCUCCAGAAACGUUGCAGAUGGUUUCCUAUGACGCUUCAUGGUUUGGGGCAUCUUUUCGAAAAUCUGGAACGAUUCCCAGACUCGUUUAAAUUCGCGAACUACUACCGUAUUUCGCUUUGUUUUAUACUUUUAGAUUUUUUAUUUUUUUCGUGUUUUAUUCUUUCUUGGUCUUCCCAUCCGAAAGAAGUUUUCUCUUUCUCUUUUCUUAUUUUUCGGUAAACAAGUCAGAUUGGAUCGACAAAAGAUAGGGGCACCUGACAAAAAGGGUUAAGAGUACCGAAGGGGUUUAGAGAUAAAAGCGAAAUCCGGGAAACGGAAGGGAAAGGAGGGACUUAGGCACCCAGCUGGGAACACGGCUGUUGCCAAGACGGAACAUAUGGUGGGUGUAGUAUUGACCUCAUAUAGGUCCUUAGUAGAAUUUCCAGCUUUGUGUCUUCGGUUAUAUCGAAAGUUCAAGGUUUUGGAAAACCAAAAAUCGAAGAGAAGAAAAAAAAAAUAAAUAAUAGGGACAUGUAUCUUGUCAUUAUCCUUGAUCUGACUAAUGUGUUCUUACAACAAACACAAACCUUCGAUAUAAAAUCUCGCUCGAUUUUUUUUUUCUUGCAGAGUUUUUUUUUCCUUCUUAGCUGUUGGGUAAAAACCUUACAGUUUCUCAAUAGGAGGUUUCAUGUUUUCUGUGAUUAAUGGAAUAAAAUCCGGGGCAUUCCCGGAUUGGCAAAAGUUUUCGAAAGCUUUUUUUUGUAUAUUACCAUAGCGAGAUCAAAAGAGAUAAAUACAAGAUCGGGGUGUGAGACUGUUCUUGUUUACCAGCAUAAGUCCCAUCUGUGUGUCGUGUGAACGGCACGAACGUCAAACAAAAGACGCGUCGACAGAGAGUGACGACCUCCCCCAUUUCGUGUUGCCAUGACAAUUCGAUUUUGCCGGACAGCUUCGUUGUUUACGCGUAACGCAAGUCCGUCAAUCAACAAUCGUCGAUAGUGCACCAUUAGAAGAGUCAAAAGGAGGAAAAAAAGAAAAAAAAAUUUUUUUUCAGAGCUUCUUCUGUGUUUCUUAUACGCUCGACUGCGGUCGCUGACGCAGACCGGAUGUUGUGGUUUUGGAAAAGUAGAAGCGGAACGCCAGCCGUAUCUGUCUGAUCUACACAUCUCGGGUUCCGAACUCCCGCGACAGUCUGUAUAAUUAUAAUACGAGUAGGCACCCCUUCGACACUUAAAAAUCUGCCAUUUUUAUCUAACUGAACAUAAUUCUGUUAUCCGGGAGUGCUCUCUCUCUCUCUGUCGUUAUUUUUGUACACGUAGCUUUGUACCGGUUUCUGGCUCGCAUCUCUAAAAGGAUUACUCUUCUAAGAUUGAAAAUUUUAAAAAAAUCUCCUACUAGACUAGAACAGAAAUUUGCAGUACUGUUCUCUCUUACAGGAUUCGAUUCUUUGGACUAUCGUUAGAGAUUCGAACCCCUGAACAUAGGAGUUUUCAGAGAUGUAGUCAAAGGUUCGAAUCUUUUUUUAAUAAAUGCUGAUUGUAGUGCGUAGUUAAUGUCACUCCCGGUGAUUGGUAUAUCUGCUAAGAUUCGAUUCCUAACUGCAUACCGGAAACUUUCGUAUACCCCUGGGGUGUUGGUUAAAUAUUUGUCGUUUUGUUACCGUUUGUUCAGUUCAGUGAUUGAUAUCAUCUGUCGAGGAAGUUCCUUGGCAUCGAUAGCAAGUUUUGGAAAGUAUUUUUUUUUAUUUUUAUUUUUCCCCCCCGGUCUUCGACUAGAAAAGUCGGUAUGCCAUUUUUGUAAAUCAGUAGAAGACAAACUCCGGCGUUAGCAAAACCGGAGGGAGACGUAUGACGUCAACCCGAAUACGUGGAUCAGUCUGGACCAUACUAAACGCCCACGCUGUAUAGGAUAUUCCAUCCCACGACGUCAAUUAACCUAUGUGGCAGCAGCGCGUUUCGCAUCUCUCAACGAAUAUCCACUCGCGUGACGAUCUGUCACGUCACCUCACGUUACCGAUUUAAGCUUUUCUCGAAUGUCGCACUUUAAAACACGUAAAAAAAAACACGAGUCUCUCUCGGAAACAACCGUAUUGCAACAAUUCCAGUAACGAAUUUAACGAGGAAGCGUAUUAAAUUACUUUAAUAGUCGUUUGCGUGGAAACGAUUUUUAAACCCCUUUAUCAAUGCGAUCGCUUUGUUAACAACGUUUCACUCCACUGGAGUAACCUAUAUUAAUUACGCGUGGGGGGGAAACGAAAGACUUUUCCGAAUUAAAAAAAAAAUAAUAAUAAGUCUUUCCGUCCGAGCGGGGGAAAAAGAAUGAGUGGUGUUAUACGGAAUCCCGUUUAGUGGGGCAUUUAUGUUUAGAACGUUACUGAAAAUCCAGGUCUUUCUGCAUUCUCCCAUCAAACAAAAUGCAAAAGGACAUUACCAUCGAGGAAGCGAAACCGGUCGAAAGACAGACGACCGACCCUAUUCGCUUGUCAGAAAGGAGAAAAACUUAUCUCGACAGAUAUAAACAAAUGAUAUUUUCAAUAACUUCUACAAGACGACGUCACACGCGUCGAAAAAAAAAUAUGGAAACUCCGUUUUAGCAUUUUAUAAUGUUUAACGUCCGUCGUGACGUCAGUGUCGGAGUACGUCGAGUAGUUCGGAAAAGCAUAUUAUAAAAGCUGCUGUAGUCAGACCGGGUGGGGAAAGAGGGAGGGAGAAAAAUAUGGUAUCCAGCAAAAACCGCUCCCUCCAAACAGCAUACUAAUGCACCCCACGUAAAUGAUAAUUAGGAGGGUUGGUUGGGAAUUUUUAUUUUUAUUUUUUAAUUAAACUAAUCUACCACUAUUGCUACUACUAGUUACAGUAUCCGAGGAGCGUUUUAGAACCUUACCUGAUGGAUCUUAGACCCUGAGGACUAGCAAGUUUUCUGAUGCAGGACGGUCUGGCUGACGACGUCAAAAUGCACUGUUUAGAUUUCGUCGAGUUAAUUUUGGUUAGUUUCGGUUUUAGAAGGGUCUAAUUCAAGAGUGCGUCCUGUGUUAUUUUUACGGUGUAUCGUUUUGGUCUCUAGGUUUAUUUUGGUGGGAAGAGUACAUGCCAAAGUUUUGGAGGUUGUAAUUAAACUUUGGCAUCGAACGUUACGAAGGUGGACAUUGUUUACUAUAAUUUCUCACUAGGCUACGUGGGAGUGGAAAAACUCGAAUGGUUUGUUUUUUUGUUUUUUUCUCCUCCGUAUCUGCGCGAAUUUCUUUUUUAACUUUUUUUAUGUUUAGUUUUAUCUCUCUAAUCGGCUAAAAUAGGAUUUGAAGUACGGUAGAACUUCGAGUUUUAUUGCAAAAGAGUUGUAAAGCCGAAGGACUCUACCUUGAGGCUACUGAUUUACAACCUGGUUCUGAAGGGUUUCUUACCCUUCAGAAGUAUAAAGAAAACAAAUUUUCGGAUUUUAAACGGGAGAAAAAAAAAAAAAAAAGAAUUCUACGCGCGCGCGCGCGCGCGCACAUAUACACCAUGAGUUUAAUAUUCAAAUAUUAUUUAAAAUUAGAACUUUCGACCUGCAACCUUAUCAAAUCAGAUACUGAAAGUAUGCACUACACGUGCUAUUCUUGCAUCACUUCCUCUUCGAAUCCAGACCAGUUGGUUCAGUCGAUUCUUUAAGAUUUGUCAUUAAAAACAGAACUUAACAUCCCUAUUAACUAUUGAUCGUCACACCAUUUUUGUUCUAAAGCGGUAGAACUUUAGGAAUAUAUAUAUAUAAC
This 4145-nucleotide long non-coding RNA is filed under the name Androctonus crassicauda. Lineage: Eukaryota; Metazoa; Arthropoda; Arachnida; Scorpiones; Buthidae. The record is from RNAcentral.